RNAcentral lists this ribosomal RNA (399 nucleotides) under uncultured bacterium. Its description in RNAcentral is "bacterial SSU rRNA". It matches the Rfam family "Bacterial small subunit ribosomal RNA", at positions 359 to 775 of the family's 1533-position model. The record is from RNAcentral.
GAAUAUUGGACAAUGGGCGCAAGCCUGAUCCAGCCAUGCCGCGUGGGUGAUGAAGGCCCUAGGGUUGUAAAGCCCUUUCGGCGGGGAAGAUAAUGACGGUACCCGCAGAAGAAGCCCCGGCUAACUUCGUGCCAGCAGCCGCGGUAAUACGAAGGGGGCUAGCGUUGCUCGGAAUCACUGGGCGUAAAGCGCACGUAGGCGGACUCUUAAGUCGGGGGUGAAAUCCUGGAGCUCAACUCCAGAACUGCCUUCGAUACUGAGAGUCUUGAGUCCGGGAGAGGUGAGUGGAACUGCGAGUGUAGAGGUGAAAUUCGUAGAUAUUCGCAAGAACACCAGUGGCGAAGGCGGCUCACUGGCCCGGUACUGACGCUGAGGUGCGAAAGCGUGGGGAGCAAACAG